AACGCAUAUUGCGCCCGUUAGUAUUCUAGCGGGCAUGCCUGUUCGAGCGUCAUUUCAACCCUCAAGCCUUGCUUGGCGUUGGGGCUUUAUAGUUAUUAUAAGCCCUGAAAAUUAGUGGCGGGCUCGCUAAAACUCCGAGCGUAGUAAUACUUCUCGCUUAGGACGUUUAGCGGGUUUCUGGCCGUUAAACCCCCUAAAUUAUAAAAGGUUGACCUCGGAUCAGGUAGGAAUACCCGCUGAACUUAA
Molecule: unclassified non-coding RNA, 246 nt
Filed under: uncultured fungus
Lineage: Eukaryota; Fungi
Description: partial contains 5.8S ribosomal RNA, internal transcribed spacer 2, and large subunit ribosomal RNA
Source: RNAcentral